GCAAGGGCAGGGUGUACGCGCGUUGCGCGCGCUCCCGGCCCCCACUUAUACUCCGGCGGAAUGGGAGCUUCCCGCAGUCGUAGUCCCAUGAGUUUUGGAAGAUGCCGACCGCUGUAUAUUGAGAGUGGGUUUUGAGCAUCUUUUGAGUGAUAUGGUGUGAACUGACAACGGAUGAGGACAUUGGGCAUGGCUUCCUUUAAGCAGCAGAAGGUGGAGGAGUUUUAUGAAAUAGGAGAAGAACUGGGAAGUGGCCAGUUUGCUAUUGUGAAGAAGUGCAGCAAGAGAAACGACGGGCUUGAAUACGCAGCAAAGUUUAUCAAGAAACGGCAGGUCCGAGCCAGUCGGAGAGGAGUGAGACGUGAGGAAAUCGAGCGGGAGGUGAACAUCCUGCAGCAGAUCCAGCACCCGAAUAUCAUCACUUUACAUGAUGUCUAUGAGAACAAAACAGAUGUUGUCCUCAUUCUGGAAUUGGUCUCUGGAGGGGAACUCUUUGACUUCCUGGCUCAGAAAGAAUCUUUGAGUGAAGAAGAAGCAACAGCGUUUAUUAAACAAAUCCUAGACGGAGUGAACUACCUCCAUUCCAAAAACAUCGCACACUUCGACCUCAAGCCUGAAAACAUUAUGCUUCUUGAUAAGAUACCCAUGCCACACAUCAAAUUGAUAGACUUUGGCCUUGCUCACAAAAUCGAAGAUGGAGUUGAGUUUAAAAACAUCUUUGGGACUCCUGAAUUUGUUGCUCCAGAAAUUGUAAACUAUGAACCUCUUGGGCUACCUGCAGAUAUGUGGAGCAUUGGUGUCAUUACGUACAUUCUGUUAAGUGGAGCCUCCCCUUUCCUCGGUGAAACAAAGCAGGAAACCCUGGCCAACAUCUCUGCAAUGAACUAUGAACUUGAUGAAGAAUUCUUCAGCCAGACGAGCGAUCUGGCAAAGGACUUCAUUAAAAACCUUCUGCUGAAGGAUACAAGGAAAAGGCUGAACAUUAAAGGUGCUCUUUCACACCCAUGGAUAAUGCCAACCAACAAACGACAAGCUCUCGUCAGAAGGGAAUCUAUCGUUAAUUUGGAAAACUUCAAGAAGUUGUACAUCAGAAGGAGGUGGAAGCUUACGUAUAGGAUUGUUUCAUUUUGCAAUCAUUUGACUCGUUCGUUCCUUAAGAAAGAUCAUCUAAAGAAAGAAGAAGCUCUGAGGGCAUAUGAAAGUGACAAUGAAGACGAUGGUGUCAAAAGAAGAGUGUCCAGGCCAAGGCGACGCAGCAGCACGUCCUAGGGCAGCGUCAGAAGACGUUACAUUAAAGAGUGCACGCCUGAGGGCAGGUUUAUCACUGUUAGCAUUAACAAUCUGAACCUGUUCCAGCCAGUUCAUGUUUUGGGCCCAGUGAAUGGACAAAGACACUUCUAGUGGGCGACAGUGCUGACAAAUAGUCGUGCUUACCUUAGAAAGGCACUCAGAGAAGAUAAGUGUGCAAUAUAUAUUUUUUUGAACAAUUCAUUGUAAUAUUUUUGUUUCUGCUUAGACCUUAGUUUGUAAGGGUUUUUAAAGUCUGGUCUUGCUCGAAUGCUGUUCUUGUGAUUACAUCAACAUUCACACCACAGGGACAGUGAGGGGCAGUUCACUGCCGAUGCAAACGGCUCCUCGGUUCGAGAAUGCCGCUGUGGAAAUGCAGGUGGCAGUCGAAAACGUGACCACAGGGAAAGAGGGGUGGGGGAGAAGGGGAAGAGAUAAAUAAGUUGACUUUGUAAGGUUCUAUUAGAAGUAUUCUACUGACACAGGCAUGGCAUUUCAUUGUGGGCGGGUAUUGGAAUAAUCCUGUUGUACGGACUUGUGUUGUGUUGUGUUGUCAUGCUGAGGCAGAUUCAACUGCGGCCAAGUGUAGAUCACAGAUUCAUAGAAGGACAUUGGUGAAAGGGAGUCAGGGAGACGUGAGGUCACACUUGUUGCUACCAUCAUAGGGUUUCAGAUUUAAACACAGUACACUGAAACAAGCAGUUUUAUUUGGUGCAACAUAAUUCUUAUUGCAUCAGGUCUAAAAGAAUGAGUGUUUUGAAAGUCAGAUCAGCUAACAGACUGGCAAAUUCAAAGUGACGAGCAGUAUGUUUUCCAUUGAAGCAUGCUUGAACACUGUUGGGGAGGAAUAGGUUAAAAUCUAGAUAAAGCUAAAGGACUUUAUCCUUAUUGAUGACUAUGUGUGUAAAUCUGCUGCCAGCCCAGGGUUUCAAUUACUGUAACACCAUGCACAAUACUCCCACCUGAUGCCUUACAUAGUGAACUGCCAUCCCUCCCUAAGUCCAGCUGCGUUAAUAAUGUCUUUAACCUCCACCUUAAUCUUAGAGGUGGCACCUAUUAUGCAUAUUUUCAAAAAUGUAUUAAAUAGACUUUAUAUAAUUAUCUGAAAACUAAAUUGCUCCCAAGCACACCAUUAAGUUAUGGCCACUGAAGUGUACAGGCACAGUUAUUUAUUCAAUAAGAAUGUACAUGGAGUAUAACUAUUAAUAAAUGAAAAUAGUUUUGUGCAUCCUCAUAUUCUGCAGGUCUUUGCAGGAUUAGUACCUGUCAAGUUGUCAGAAUUACUCUCCCUUUCACAACAUCCGGGCUGUACUCAAACUCCCUGCUUUUACUUAAUUCAGUCAGUUCCUCUGACUUGCAGCUUUUUGCAUCAGAAGCCUUGGGUUGCUGGACGAUUUCCAAAUCAUUAGGAGUCUAAAAUGAACAUGUCUCCCUCAGGCAUUUGCUGUUUUCAAGUAGUUUUGUGUAGUAUAUUCUGAUUUGUUUAGGACUACUUUCUGAACAGUGAGAGAGUGAGAUCCCUUGAGAAAAUGAGCACAGAUAUUAUUUGCUUUCUGAUUGUAUUUGUCAAAUGGUGUCAACCUUAGGGGUACAUCACAGCUGAGUUUAAAAAACAGCUACAUAGAAAUUGAGAAAAGGUUCGAUGUUCACACAUUCGACAAGGCUGUAAUUUGGAGAUGGGUGAGAUGGCCGAUGCUGGAAAUGAGGAGUAAUGUUACCGCAGGAGGAGCUCAGCAGGUCAAGCAGCAGCUGUGUGGAGGAAAGGAGCAGUCGGCGUUUCGCAUCAGGACUGAAGGGAGAUGGCCAGUAAUAAAUAGGUGAGAGGGCGAGGUGAUACGGGGCCAGUAAGUGAUUCGGAUACUGAGGAGUGCUGGAGAAGGAUGGGUAGAUGGAGCAAGGAGAGAGAGGGGUGGAAAUGGGAGGUGACUGGUGGCUGAUGGGCAGAAGCAGGAAUUUGAAUCGGCCCAAAUUUUAGAUAGUUGACAUUGCUUCUUCUUGUGAUCAGUUAGGCUGCUGUAACUGAAUCUGUAUAGUCAUGUUAAAAAUCUUGUUCUGAAUGAGCUAAUUUCAACCAAGUUAAUAUUAGCACUUGAAAGAGAAAAUGGGAAUUCUGACCCUUAAUGGGACCCUGAGGGAGGGCAGUAAGGAGAUGCUUGCAUGUAUCACACCUCCCACCCUGUUGCUACAUGCUUUACAUUCAAUAAAUGUAUGUGAAGUAACUGUUGUGAUUAAAAACAGUAAUCAAAUGUAGUAUUCAGCAGAAUUAUUGGACGUAGACUCAUGAUUGUACAACCCGCUGAGCUUUGGAAAGGAAUCGUGCUUCACGGACACGUUCCAGCCUGUGUGGAACGCUGCUGACAGAGAGCAAAUAUAUUAAAAGAAGUUCUCCAACCUGAAGAGGGAAACAUACUUUGAUAUUAACUUGAAGGGCCAUUCACAAUGAGAUUGUGAAGUAAACUGUUUGAAGAACCCAAUGGAUCAAGCAGCAUCUGUGAAGGCGAAAGGGGCAUGUCAGUGUUUCGGGUUGAGACUCUGCACGAGGACGAUGCCUCCACAGAUGAGGUCUUCCAACAGUUCAUUUCUUUGCUCCGGAUUCCAGCACGUGCAGGGACACAUUGUGAAUUGAUGUUCUACUGCCCUUGCAGUGCAUUGCAUACAAAGCUAAACAGGGAGCUGAACGCCUUCUCAAAAAUCACCAAGCCGGAAGCUAUCUUCAUGGUUUUUAAUGAAAUAAACUUUGUAAAACUACAGAAAGUUAAGGAAAACUCGCAUUAGAUUCGAUGCAGAAUCCUCGUGCACCUGAAUAUACUAAUAUCAUUGAUUAUUCUCACAAUCAGCGUUAAACAAGGUAAUACACAUGCAAUAUUCUAUCACUAUGCCAUGGACUAGAGUGAACUGGUGGUGCAACGAUAGCAAUGAAUGAUAAACAUAAUACUUCCUUCAAAUACUUCUCCAAUAUUAAGAAGGCUUAAGACUCACAUAUAUUGCUGUUUCAAGGACAAAUAAAGAGUGUGUGGAGAUGAAUGUCAUUUUACUUUGUGAGCGUCGAGCUGAAAUCCAAAUGCAGGAAAUGAUGUGAAAAAACAGCUUACGAACAGGAGGUGAUGUUUGUACAAAAUGAACUGCACACGAGAUGAGCAGUACCUCUAGAGGCAGAACCAAUGUGAUGGCAAUGUUGGCUUUUGACUGCCUCUGUGAAGGUGCUUCCUGAGUCCAGAGACAACGUGCGUUCCAACAAUGGGGUGUGAGCUAUGAGGGGAAGUGACCCCUUUAUCAUCAGUUUGGUAUCGGAAUAUCUUUAAAGCUGCAAAUCAAAAGGUAUUGGAUGCAGUCAAAAAUUGCUCCAAAACAUUGUCAAGUUUAACUUGCAAACACGAGGAAAUCUGCAGAUGCUGGAAAUUCAAACAACACCACACACAAAAUGCUGGUGGAACACAGCAGGCCAGGCAGCAUCUAUAGGGAGCAGCACGGUCGAUGUUUCGGGCCGAGACCCUUCGUCAAGUUUAACUUGACCUAGCAUGUUAGAUUUUCCCCACUUGAAGAAUUACAUGUAUCAUAAACAAAACACUAAUCAAUUCUGGAUAAAACACAGCUGUCUUCGAGGUUUUGUACUUGUACAGGCCACACUGGAUUUUAAGCCGCAGGUGUCCCACGUUGUAAUAUGAGAUAUUUACACAGAAAGAUAUUACACGUGAGGAUUUUUUAACUUUUAAUUAAAUCCGUAUGGUAACAUAAACAAAUACAUAUUGCAAAUGCUUUUUUUCGAACAGUGCCUGUAACACAGCUACUUUUAAAUAUACAUACGUAUCGGUAACACACAAAUUACGUUGCGUAUACUUUUUUACUGAACAGUGCACAAACAACAUUCCAAUAUCUCCUAACGACUGGUAAAAAAAAUAUAUAUACUGCAGCCUACCAGGAAAAGUUAUUGAUCGCCUUCUUCAUCUUCCUCCUGCGCACUAAAACCACCAAAGUCCUUCAGUGUCCGAAUUGAAUAAAACCUCAGGAUCUCGUCACUCACUUCAGUCUCUUCGUUGUCGCUCUCACUUGAGCGCACGCGGUCCUCUUCAUCACGCAGCAGUCCAGCCUUUCGAAACACGCUGGUGAUGGUGGAUGUUGUGACACAGCUCCACGCAUUUAGGAUCCACUGGCAGACUUGAGUUAAAGAUGCUCUUCGCAUGCGUCCUGUUUUGGUAAAGGAUUUCUCGCCGCUCGUCAUCCAAGCCUCCCACUCAACGCGCAGCGCCACUUUAAAUGCCCGGUUCACGCUGAUGUCCAGUGGCUGCAAAUACUUUGUGGUGCCCCCAGGAAUCACAGCUGGAAUUGAGUUUGUACUCUUGAUGGCAGCUUUCACUGAACUUUCAUUGUCAGCCACUUAAAAAUCACCAUUGGUGGAAGCUUUAGUCCAGAUGCUGUGCAGAUCAGAACACAAGUAAAAUGCGUUCUCUCAUGGCCACUUGUUUUCAGUGUGAUGGACGAGUCACCUUUUUUAUUAACAGUCCGAGUGAGAGGCAGGUCAAACGUCAAAGGUACUUCAUCCAUAUUUAUGAUAUCAUCUGGCCCGAUGGAAUUCUCCACUAUCUUUGUUUGAGUGAAUGUGCGGAAGUUAGCAAGCUUUUCCUCGUGGUUGGGAAGGAGCUGCUGACACAGGUCGUGCAUACCCUGAUGGACAGGCCUUUUCGUCUCAUAAAUCUAAAACACCACGAUGGCCCACCUCUAAAAUCUUCAAUUUUCAUUUUGGUGGCGAUUGCUUUAGUCUUCAGUCUGAUCUGCACGGUGGAAACAUCACGGCCGCCUGCUCUCUGUGUGUUAACCCAGUCUUCAAGAAAGUUUUCAAGUUCGGGCCAUCUGCUAUGAUUACCACUGAAAGCUUUUGUCGUCUUUUUGCAUUGACUCAGUUCUUCAUGCUGGCGUCUCCACCGUCUCACCAUCGAUUCAUUUAUGCCAAGAUUAUGUGCAGCAGCUCGAUUUCCUUCUUCAACCGCCAGAUUGAUCGCCUUUAACUUAAAAGCUGCAUCAUAUGCUUUUCUUCGAGUGUUUUCCACGUUGAUGAGGACAGUAUCACUGCUGGCUAAAAGGAGCAAAGGUCAAGUCCUUAAACCUGGUGCAAACCUCCCAGUCUUCUGAGCAGCUGUGAUUCCUGCCCUCUUGAGUACAUCUAGGACCUGGGCUGCUCACAGUAGACAAAGCAGUUGAGAGCGCCCACCAGUGCUCUACCCGCCAGAUCUUUCACUGACAGAAAAUGAGAGCCAACAUCAACAUCGUUCUCUAGGCAUGCUCAGUAAAUCCAUGAAACAUAAUUGAAUCAAUGAAGGACUGCACCCAACAGGGCAGACAAACAACCAAUGUGCAAAAGGCAACAAACUAUGCAGAUACAAAAGACAAAUAAAUAAAUAAAUAAGCAAUAAAUAUCGAGAACAUGAGAUGAAGUGUCCAUGAGAGUGAGUCCAUAAGUUGUGGGAACGGUUUAGUGAUGGGGCAAGUGAAGUUAUCCCCACUGGUUCAAGAGCCUGAUGGUUAAAGGGUAAUGACUAUUCCUGAUCCUGGUGAUGUGAGACAUGAGGCUGCCGUACCUUCUUCCUAAUGGCAGCAGUGAGAAGAGAGCAUGACCUGGAUGGUGGUGUUCCUCGAUGAUGGAUGGUGCUUUCCUGCAACAGUGCUUCAUGUAGAUGUGCUUAGUGAUGGGAGGGCUUUUCUUGUGAAGGACUGGGCCACAUCCACUUUUUGUAGGACUUUCCAUAUCCACUUGAAAUGCAACCAGUCAAUAUACUCUUCACCAGAAGUUUUAGAUGUGAUGCUGAAUCUUCACAAACUUCUAAGUGGAGGUGCUGCCAUGCCUUCUUUGUAACUGCACUUACGUGCUGGGCCAAUAGAUGAAUCCUCUGAAAUGAUAAUACAGAGGAAUUUAAUGUUGCUGACCCUCUGAUUCUCCAAAUGAGGACUGGAUCAUGGACCUCUGGUUUCCUCCUCCUGAAGUUUAUCAGUCCCUUGCUGACAUUAAAAGGGAGGCUGUUGUAGGGCCAGUUGCGCAAUGGAUAAUGUGUCUGACUACGAUAUUCAAUCUCUCUCUCUUACAUGCUGAUUUGUACACAGCCUUGACUUGGCCAACGUUUGUGGUGUCAUCAACAAACUUAAAUAUGGAACUGGAGCUUUGACUAGCCACAUGGUCAUAAGUAGAGAAUUGGAGGCUAAGCACACAACCUUGUGGUGCACCUUACUGGUGGAAAUUGUGGAGAUGAUUGAUGUCUGCAAGUGAGGAAAUCAAAUAUCCUAUUGCAUAAGGAUUCAGAAUCAGAUUUAAUAUCACUGGCAUAUGUCAUGAAAUUUGUUAACUUUACGGCAACAGUACAAUGCAAUACAUAAUAGAGAGAAAAAAGCUAAUUACAGUAAGUAUAUUAGUUAAAUUAAAUAGGUAGUGUAAUAAAUAAAUAAAUAAAGGUAGUGAGGUAGAAUUCAUGGGUACAAUGUCUAUUCAGAAAUUGGAUGGCAGAAAGAAAGAAGCUGUUCCUAAAUCAUUGAGUGUGUGUCUUCAGACUUCUGUGCCUCCUUCCUGAUGGUAGCAAUGAGAAGGCAUGUCCUGGGUGAUGGGGGUCCUUAAUGAUGGAUGCUGCCUUUUUGAGGCACCACUCCUUGAAAAUAUCCUAGAUACUACGGAAGCUGGUGCCCAUGAUGGAGCUAAUUUUACAGCUUACUUUGAUCCUGUGCAGUAGCCUCCCCCUCCCCCGUACCAAACAAUGAUGCAGCCAGUUAGAAUGCUCUCCAUGGUACAUCUGUACAAAUUUGCAAAAGGUGUUGAGGCCAUGGUCUUGAAACUUACUGAUUAGUUUUGAAGGGAUGAUAGUAUGAAUGCCAAGCUGUAGUUGAUUGAGAUCAUCCUGAUGGAUCUUUGCCGUCCAGAUGUCUUAUGGUCGAGUGAAGAGCAAAUAAAAUAGCAUUUGCUGUGGGCCUAUUAGGCAGGGCAAACCAAAGCAGAUCCAAGUCACUUCUCGGGCAGUUGUUCAUAUGCAUCAUCACCAACCUCUCAAAGCACUUCAUCUCAGUGCGACUGGGAGAUAGCCAUUGAGGUAGCUUACAUGUUCUUAUCCACCAGUAUAAUUGAAGCCUGCUUGAAGCAGGUGGGUACCUCAGACUGUUGAAAUGAGUGGUUAAGGAUAUCCUGGAGAGGGUUGAAAGGAGGUUCAUGAAAAUGAUUCCAGGUUUGAACUGCCUAUCAUAUGAAGAGCGUUUGAUGGCUUUGGGUCUGUAUUCACUGGAAUUCAUAAGAAUUUGGGGUGACCUCAUUGAAACCUAUUGAAUGGUGAAAGGCCUUGAUAGAGUGACGUGGAGAGGAUAUUCCCUAUGGUGGGAGAGUCUAACAGCAGAGGAAACAGCCUGAGAAUAGAGAAUCGCAGUUCUGGAAUUCAGUAAGAUUGGAACAGAACAAAAUUGGAUUUAUUAUUUCAGACACAUGUCAUGAAUUUUGUUGUCUUGCAGUACAGUGUAAGAGAAAAUAGUUACAAUUUAAAAAAUACUAAUGGGUAAGGGGAAUAGAGAGGACUGUUCUGAAAUCUGAUGGUGAAGGGGAGAAGCUGAUCCUAAAAUGUUGGGUGUGGGUCUUCCAGAUUCCAGCAGGCUGCUUGUAGGUCAGAUGUUGAUGCUUUUUGCUCAUACUGUGGGACAACUGACGUGCUCUUCACUGGACAGCCAGAAUGCAGUAACUCCAACACCGCUGCAACCGGAUUCCACACAUACUAUAACCUCCUUAACACACAAUUUAUUCACUCCUUUUUUUGCGGGUUUGCCUAGUGAUACCCAGGCACAAGUGCUCCACCUCAGCCUGCGCCUCCAUUUUUCUCCCGCCCAGUCUGGAGUUAUAGAAGUCAUUAACAGAAGCCAUUUCCACCAACUGACGUCGAAGAAAACAAUGUGCACGAGAGAAAACGUCGACUUAAUAACAGACACAUGUUAUGUACCCCUGGGGUUCAUGUUUUCUGUGGACUAUCACUUUAAAAUGUCGGGGAAAUGAGACUGGCUUUUGGACACUGUUUGAGCUGUUACAGAGAGAUGGACGAUGUUUAUACGAACUCUAAAGCUUGUUUUGAAUAUAUGCAAGGUCAACUGGCUGUGGAAUCGGACACACCAGAGACAAGGAAGACACUGAGCUUAGUGUGCCCACGACCAAGGUGGGGUUUUUGCUCACAGCGUGGACAAAGGGGUGACCGGUGGGAAGCUAUCAGUGUGUUUAACCCCGGUCUGGGUUGAUAGCUUACCGUGGAAAAUCGGCAUUCUUGUUUGUGUGGUCGCAGUCGGGGACUUUAAUAAUAAAGUUUCGGGAGCAGGAGGACAACGUGGAAGAUUCGACGGCAUCGGCACUGGGAAGGCAUCUCCCUCUCUCUCUUCAACCUACUCAAUUCAAAUUCCAGAAUUGAACUGACUUCCUACCCAUACCACCGUAAGACUGUAUCGUUUUAUCACCUGAGCUGGGAGAAGCUUGGGAGAGUAUAUAUGCAUAUACUCCGCUAACCUGUUUACCUUAUCUUGUUUUAUAUUACUUUAUCACGUAGUUACUAAUAAAAGUGUUUAUAACGGAAGACUCAGACUCCGGGUGUGUACAUUUCUGCUGGCUCUU
Molecule: RNA transcript, 9892 nt
Organism: Hypanus sabinus (Atlantic stingray)
Lineage: Eukaryota; Metazoa; Chordata; Chondrichthyes; Myliobatiformes; Dasyatidae
Gene: dapk2b
Gene name: death-associated protein kinase 2b
Exons: 16
Source: RefSeq, a predicted model, not a curated record